UCCAAAGCGCCAAAUUGGGCCAAGCCCAACAGCCUACUCACUCUCCUCCGCAUCAGACGACAACGACGGCGAGAUCUGAGGGACGCAGCCGCAGACGACGGCGCGAUCCAGAGAGAGGGGCUAUGGCGCCGCGCGUCUCCGCGACGGAGGCCAGUGGCAGUCAAGACCCCCUGCUCACGCGGCUCUCCAAGGAAGUCGUCCUCCACUGCCUCCCGAAGCUGGGGGCCAACGAGCUCCGACGGCCCGGAUCAAGACCUCUCCCCAGUCUACUCGUCGCGGCGGCGCAGAAUGGGAAGCCUUUGCUGCGAAAAAAUGAAGGAGGGUAGAAUGUUGAAUUGGAAUAUGGUACUGAAGAUCCUCUUUGCACCCUUCAAGAAGGAAUCAAUCAAGAAACCUAUGGGCUUAAUACAAUUUCGUCCAACCAAUAGGGGUAGAGAAAGGUGGAGGGCGUGGCACAUCGGUUGUGAUCAUGUUGUCCUUCCCAUGCCGACAACUCGUGGAGAAACGGAGUGUGAAAUGGUACAGUCGCCGGCGUCCAACCACUCGGUGUUUGCUGCAUCCAGUGCAAUUAUGGACAUGGAAGGUUCCUAUUCAAAUCUUAUAGAGUGUUCCUACUGAGUUUGAAUUUAUUGCUUGUUCAGAUACCCUACUUGCAAAUUUCGUCUAUGUAAAACUACUUAUGUAUGUUUUUUGCAUGGGCGGUAUAAGAACAAUGUGGCAAUGGUGCGGAGCUACUCAAAGGAAGUCUGCUUAUGUCUUCAAAUAUGCACAUCUUACUUCUGUCAUUUUUUUUUGUUUUCUUUCCUGUUAGUUUAGUAAGUUAUCUCUGCUUAUCAAUUUACGCUGUUAACUGGGAACCAAGAGAAAAAUGAUAAGCAGUUAAUUGUCUUUUUUUUCUCAGUCCAGGUCGAUUUUUAUUUAAGAGCUACUUCAUGUGCAAAGUAAGCUAUAAUAUUUAAUUACAUAUUCUGGUAUUAAAAACAAUAGGUUGGUAAAAUGGCAGGAGCAUGAUGUCCAUAAAGGGGAGAUAUAGUCAAUAGCUUUUUUCAUUUGCAAACUGCACAUGAUCAUAUAGUCAAAGCUCAAUUCGUUGAACUAUUUGGGCGUGCCUUGUGCACUCAAUUGUGGUGGGAAUCUAAGGCGUGAGAUGGUCAGGGUUCUCGCUGCACUUAUUGGAUUUUCCCAAUCAUACCUAUUGUUUGGGUCUGUUAUUUCUGGAGAUUGAUUUCUUGGUUUUCUAUAAUUAGGAGGAACUGCUAUUGGCAAAGAGAGAGAGGUGACCCCCUUAGUUUCCCCAUUCAACUGUCGACGGCUUUAGAUGCGGUAACAUUGGUUUAUUGGGUCGACUGCUAUACACCAAAUUAUUGGGUCAAGGAGAUGCUCCCCGGUCGAUCUACGGUGGCAAGCGGCCAGCGGCGCAUACCUCCUCCGGCAGGAGGAACGUGACCCCGUCCUGCAGUUCCUCUUGAUUCUUUACCGGAAGGUCGGGGCGUUGCAACUGGAGGUCGCCAUGAACCAUAAGAACUCCCUCCAGCUCCUCCUUGGUCGCCGCUGCCUUGAGCCCGACGUCCCCUUGGCAUCUCCACGACGGCCGAUGGCGCUGUGUCGUCUCGCGGUCUCCACCUACGACCUUCGCUACCUCUCACGGAUCUGGGGAGAGACACAUCACAUCGCAAGCUCGGGGAGUUCGAUGUCGCGCCAAGUGGACGUGGGCAUGGUGGACCAGCAACUUGCCGUGAUCGACGCCUUCUUCGCCACAAACCGAGAUGCCCGUGCACAACGACGACGGGAGUAUCAGGGGCUCGGGGCCUUCUCCAAGGAAGAGGCCAUGGCCUCCAACGGGGUUAUUAUGUUUAGCAAGGCCUCCAUCCCUGAUUGGGAAAUCCAUGCUGUGGUUCCUCUUCCACUGUCCACUACGAAGUGGAGCCUGUUUUCUUCGACAAGGGAAUCUUGGGAUUUGAAAAGCAACAUCGAGAGGAAUGAAGCAGCUACCAGGAAGAAAGAAGAGUGAAAUGCAUGUUUUGAGUAUUUAAGAUGGCAAUUCUGCCUAGGCUUUCAAGAGAUAUGAAAAGCAUUCUUGUUGCAGAAUGUUGAGUGAAUUCAGUCUGUAGACCAAGCAUGCAACAUCUAAAUUCCCUUCCUAUAUCUAUACAAGCUGAGGGCAUCAAGAGACAAGGAUGAUGCUUCUUUUUGUGUCUAGACUAGAUGACACAUGGCAAAUCACAAGAUUCACCUAGAACAGUUUUGCCUCCUCCGUAUAAACACGUGCGGGUUUUCUGACAAAAUGCCCCUACAGGCUGAAGGACAAGUGGCGUAACUUGAGUGUCACAGCUGGAGGAUGUGGCUCAAGAGAAAUCGUGUGCCUAAGGUUGUCACCGAACCAAUGGAUGACGAUACAAGCAAUCUGGACAAUGCCCCGACUACAGUGAUCGAUGCCAAACCACUGGCAAUGGUUGUUGAACCCAAGCAGGUUGAGUGCAGUCCAGGGAAGUCAGUUGCUAGGUUAGUGAAUAAAUAUGUUUCUGAACUUGUUUCAUAUUAAUUUUAUAAUUAACCUACAUGUUUCUUGAUUUUUCAAAAAUUUCCAUCAAUGUAAAUUUCUGCGUGUUUGACACGCAGGCAUUUAGGUUAGUAAUUUGAUUGGAAUGUGAAUUCUAUGCAUACCGUUUUAGGACUGCUGACAUGUAACCUGUCUUUGAGAUAACUCGUCUAGGGCUUCGCAUAUGAACACUUGUUGAGAAUUAAGAUAGAUAUUUGUAUCAUAUGAUUUUCCUGACAACUCAAUUUAAUGAUAGGGACUUUUUCUUGACUAGGUUACUUAAGAGAAGGUUAUUAUGUCCUAUUAUUACUAAAUUUAAACUGGAGUCAGUAAGCAUAAGAGAAUAACCUGUCACAGUCACAAACACACACGCAUCCACUGGCAGCGGGACUGAGCCGAGCCGAGUCUGCAACAUCAGCCAUAUAGAUCAAAUCACUGGUUUGAUUACUACUCAAGCCUAAUUCUCCAUCCCAUGAAUCCUAGCUGAGGCCAUUACACCAUAGGUUAUGCUGGAUAUUACAAUUAUGUGUACCAAAAUUUUCAGACAUUUUUGUGACUUUUGGUAGUGGAUUGAAAGUCAGUACGAUAUUUUGCACAAUGAAAUAAUAUUAGAAAAAGGCUACCAGUCUAUUGUUGAGAAGAAAAAUCAGGCCUACUACUUUUUUUGCAACUAAUAAUACUAAGUUUGUUCAUAGUUGUAGCUUGCCAAUCCUAUUGAGGAGAUA
Molecule: long non-coding RNA, 3264 nt
Organism: Lolium rigidum
Lineage: Eukaryota; Viridiplantae; Streptophyta; Magnoliopsida; Poales; Poaceae
Exons: 8
Source: RefSeq, a predicted model, not a curated record